AUUGAACGCUGGCGGCAUGCCUUACACAUGCAAGUCGAACGGCAGCACGGGAGCAAUCCUGGUGGCGAGUGGCGAACGGGUGAGUAAUAUAUCGGAACGUGCCCAGUCGUGGGGGAUAACGUAGCGAAAGCUACGCUAAUACCGCAUACGAUCUAUGGAUGAAAGCGGGGGAUCGCAAGACCUCGCGCGAUUGGAGCGGCCGAUAUCAGAUUAGGUAGUUGGUGAGGUAAAGGCUCACCAAGCCGACGAUCUGUAGCUGGUCUGAGAGGACGACCAGCCACACUGGGACUGAGACACGGCCCAGGCUCCUACGGGAGGCAGCAGUGGGGAAUUUUGGACAAUGGGCGCAAGCCUGAUCCAGCAAUGCCGCGUGCAGGAUGAAGGCCUCGG
RNAcentral lists this ribosomal RNA (390 nucleotides) under uncultured bacterium. RNAcentral's name for it is "bacterial SSU rRNA". It matches the Rfam family "Bacterial small subunit ribosomal RNA", at positions 29 to 420 of the family's 1533-position model. The record is from RNAcentral.